Long non-coding RNA from Macaca mulatta (Rhesus monkey), 3063 nucleotides. The record is from Ensembl. NCBI's taxonomy places the organism in Eukaryota, Metazoa, Chordata, Mammalia, Primates, Cercopithecidae.
GUCAGCUUUGGCAUGAAAGUAACUCUACCCUAUAUGCAACAUGAUGCUCAACAAAUUAUUAUUCAUGAAGACUACAUCCAGGAUGAACAUCAUGAUGAUAUUGCACUUAUUCUGCUCACUAAAAAGGUUUUAUUUAAGAAUGAUGUACAUCGAGUUUUUCUUCCUGAAGCCACAUAAAUUUUUGCACCUGGUGAAGGAGUUGUUGUUACAGGAUGGGGAAGACUUUCAUUUAAUGGUAAAUAUCCAGUGUUCCUUCAGAAAGCAUCUGUGAAGAUUAUUGAUACAAACACUUGCAAUGCUAAAGAAGCCUAUCAUGGUAUGGUGCAGGAUACAAUGCUAUGUGCUGGGUACAUGGAAGGAAAUAUUGGUGCCUGCCAGGUAAUUCUGGCUAUUAUUUACAUUGACCAGUAGUAUAUAAAUAACUGCUCUUACUUUACGAAAAUCAUCAAUAUGGAGACAAUUCUAUACUUCAAUUAAUUUGCACUUUUCCAAUCCUGUCAAAGUUCCUCUCAGCUUUGGCACUAAAGUAAUUCUUCCCUACAUGCAACAUAUGUUUUUAAGUGUUUAACAAACAUUUAUGCUGGACUUAUUCUGAGUCAAACACUGUUUUAAGUCCUCUACAAAUGUUGAUUCAUUUAAUCUUCAUUACACUCUUAUGAUGUAGAUAAUACCAGUAUUUCUCAUUUUAUGAUGAGGAAAUAGAGGCAGGUAAAUUUUAGUAAUUUGCACAUCAUAGCUGACAUACAAACCUAGGCUGUCUAGCACCACAGUCCAGAUUCUUAGCUACAUUUCAAUAAAUAAUCAUCUCAGAAUUUUUUCAAUUACUUUCAGCCCAUUCUGAAAUUCCUCUCACUUUCUUACCCCCUCAUGGUUAGAGUUCUGGUAUUUUUUUCUCAGAUAUGAAGUCCCGUAUUCCAAGUAUAUUCAUAUGUCUCCCAAAGCUUUGUCAUGGAAUUAAAGCUUGUAACUUAUUAAAUCAUACCUUUGGUGCAGUGGCUCAUGCCUGAAAUCCCAGCACUUUGGGAAACCAAGGCAGGAGGACUGUUUGAUAUCAGGAGUUCAAGACCAGCCUGGGCAUCACAGUGAGACCUCAUCUCUACAAAAAACAAAAAAAUAGCUAGCUCAGUGUGUUGGCAUGCCUGUAUUCCUAGCUACUCAGAAAGUUAGGUGGGAGGAUUACUUGAGCCCAGGAGUUCCAGGCUGCAGUGAGCUGUGAUCAUGCCACCGCACUCCAGGCUGGGAGACAGAGUGAGAUCCUGUCUCUAAAAUAUAAAUAAAUUUAAAAAAUAAAUCACAACUUUCAGUUUUAGGUAAACUCCAGAGUCCUAGGCAAGGUAUUCUGGUCAGUCACAGUUGAAGUUAAUGGUGACACAGGGAUUUACACUGUAGGUAAAAUGCUAAUGACUCACAAACUUUAUCUGGAGUUAUCAUUUAGUGUAAAUGAAGUAUCCAAAAGGAAAUUCUCACAACGAUAUAUAUUCUUUGUUUUAUUCAGGGUGACUCUGGAGGACCAUUAGUUCAUCCUAAUUCUCAAAAUAAUACCUUGUUGGAGUAGUGAGCUGGCGAAGGAAUGAAUGUGGUGCAAUCAAUAGUCCAGGGGUCUACACACGAGUGACCACCUACCGCAACUGGAUUGCCUCUAAGACUGGUGUCUAACAGAAAAUCAUCUCCUAGCAACUAUUAUAGGUUGAUUUUGCCCGUUACUCCUAAGCCUUACUUAACAUGCAUUUUAAAUUAGUGUGUACAAUGGCUGUUUUGAAAGAAUUGUCAUCCCAAGGGAAUAUCUGUGGACUUCUAAGCUAACUCAAUAAAACAAGACAUCUCAGGUUUGGUCCAGAAAAACCAAAGCAAAGACAGUGUUCACAUCAAAAACAGACUAUUAUAAUACGAAUUAUUUUUCUGUUUCAUUAACUCACAUCAUGGCUAUCUCAUCACAGCAUAAACUCUUGGUUUUUGUCAUUCAGACUUUCUAGAAUUGUGAAAGUGUGUCCUUGUCCAUGGCAAAUUAAUCACUGUAACUGGAAUCAAUACUUUAUGCAGACUGGGUUGGAAUAUGCUAUAUCUGCCUUCAUAUCAUAGUGUUUGUGGAAGGUGUGUGGUUGUGAUCUAAAUCUAGUCUGAAUGUAGGCACUGAGUUACACUCUUUUAUUUGUAUGAAGUCUUGAUCAAUUCUUGCAAUCAUUGUGAAAGAAUUUCACAUCAGCAAAACCAGGCAAAACAGCACAUUUUAGACUUACAGAGACCAGGCAGAGUAGUAGUUCUUCACUGUUGUUACAAGUUUCUGUGGAAAUUCUUUAUUUGUAACAUAUUUUGAAAAGUAUGCACCCUGAAAAUAUGUAAUGUAUUUUAAUUAAAACAAAUUUAAAAGCAAACUGUUCAAUGACAGUUUUCUUUUUGGUUUUUGUUUGCUUUGAGAAUUCGUGCGUGGGUUUUCCUUUCUAACUUCUUUUUCCAUAAAAAGAAGGGUUGCCUGUACUUGGACCAUGGCUUGCGGGAGGACACAGGGUGGUUAAAAAGUAUCUUGAGGGCCGGGCCUGGUGGCUCAUGUCUGUAAUCCCAGCACUUUGGGAGGCCGAGGCAGGCAGAUCACUUGAGGUCUGGAGUUUGGGACCAGCCUGGCCAACAUGGUGAAACCUCGUCUAAUUAGCUGGGGGGUGGUGGCUGGCGCCAGUAAUCUCAGCUACUCGGGAGGCUAAGGCAGGAGAAUCACUUGAACCGGGGAGGCGGAGGUUGCAGUGAGGAGAAAUCACCACUACACUCCAGGCAGGGAGACUCUUCUAAACAAAACAAAACAAAACAAAACAAAACAAAACAAAACAAAACAAAAACAGUAUCUUGAGGCUGAAGGGAGCAGCUCCGGUGGACGCUGACACAGGUCUGACAGAGGAAUGGGGCCGGCGGGCCUCUUGAAGGCCUCCGGGAGCCGCAGGCUCCUUGUUGCGCCAGAGGAAGAGGCCUGGCCAGCGCGGGUUGGGCCCCUCCAGCCCGCUGAGUCUGGUCAGGUGGUUGCCAAUCUUCCGGAUGAGUUUUCAUUCGCGGCCUAGAAAGUCGUUCUCCAGGAAG